UCAGAAAGGCGAUUCUCGCCGGUUCCCACAUAACUCCACUCCAUGGAGAGUCUUGGACCUCAUCUCAGAGACCUCCUUUCUCUCCCCGAGUCUGUAGUCGCACAUUUGGGGGCACGAUCCGGCUCAGUUUGGGAAGAAAGUUUUCCAUGGAUUCCACACCACCCUAUACUCUCCCCAGGGAGUAUAAGUAUACUCUUCAUCUUCUACUGGCCCCCAACCCACCUCUCCACUUCUAAAGAAGUCCCUCCCUGCUCUCUUCCGGUCCCUGGACGGCUACCCGCCCGUGGGGGGUUGGGGGGGACAAUCAAGGAGGUCUCCAGUUAGGAGUCCCGGGUACAGAGGCCACUCACGUGUCCAGGCGGAUUUUCUUAAGCGCCACCACUUCUCCCGUCAACUUGUUUCUGGCUUUGUACACAACUCCGUACGUGCCCUCUCCGAUCUUUUCCACCUUUUGGAAGUUCUCCAUGAAGCGCCAGCGAGUCGGGUCAGCCCGGCCCUGGAGCGGGGGCCUGGGAACCCUGCAGAAGGCGGACCCUGGCUCUCGGGGGCCGAGGAGGGGGAAACAGGGCCCAGUACCGUGGCCCCGGGUCGGGAUGGAACGCAGUAUACCUCUCGCUCUUGUCAAUUUGGCCAACUU
This 637-nucleotide non-coding RNA is filed under the name Pan troglodytes (chimpanzee). Lineage: Eukaryota; Metazoa; Chordata; Mammalia; Primates; Hominidae. The record is from RNAcentral.